This 943-nucleotide ribosomal RNA is filed under the name Brachybacterium squillarum. Its description in RNAcentral is "bacterial SSU rRNA". It matches the Rfam family "Bacterial small subunit ribosomal RNA", at positions 53 to 1003 of the family's 1533-position model. Lineage: Bacteria; Bacillati; Actinomycetota; Actinomycetes; Micrococcales; Dermabacteraceae. The record is from RNAcentral.
ACAUGCAAGUCGGAACGAUGACGACCGUGCUUGCACGGUCUGAUUAGUGGCGAACGGGUGAGUAACACGUGAGUAACCUGCCCCCCACUCUGGGAUAACCUCGGGAAAUCGGGGCUAAUACCGGAUAUGAGCUCCUGCCGCAUGGUGGGUGCUGGAAAGUUUUUCGGUGGGGGAUGGACUCGCGGCCUAUCAGUUUGUUGGUGAGGUAAUGGCUCACCAAGGCGAUGACGGGUAGCCGGCCUGAGAGGGCGACCGGCCACACUGGGACUGAGACACGGCCCAGACUCCUACGGGAGGCAGCAGUGGGGAAUAUUGCACAAUGGGCGAAAGCCUGAUGCAGCGACGCCGCGUGGGGGAUGACGGCCUUCGGGUUGUAAACCUCUUUCAGUAGGGAAGAAGCGAAAGUGACGGUACCUGCAGAAGAAGCGCCGGCUAACUACGUGCCAGCAGCCGCGGUAAUACGUAGGGCGCAAGCGUUGUCCGGAAUUAUUGGGCGUAAAGAGCUUGUAGGUGGCUUGUCGCGUCUGCCGUGAAAACCCGAGGCUCAACCUCGGGCGUGCGGUGGGUACGGGCAGGCUAGAGUGUGGUAGGGGAGACUGGAACUCCUGGUGUAGCGGUGAAAUGCGCAGAUAUCAGGAAGAACACCGAUGGCGAAGGCAGGUCUCUGGGCCAUUACUGACACUGAGAAGCGAAAGCAUGGGGAGCGAACAGGAUUAGAUACCCUGGUAGUCCAUGCCGUAAACGUUGGGCACUAGGUGUGGGGAACAUUCCACGUUUUCCGCGCCGUAGCUAACGCAUUAAGUGCCCCGCCUGGGGAGUACGGCCGCAAGGCUAAAACUCAAAGGAAUUGACGGGGGCCCGCACAAGCGGCGGAGCAUGCGGAUUAAUUCGAUGCAACGCGAAGAAACCUUACCAAGGCUUGACAUGCACCGGACGACCUCAG